Molecule: RNA transcript, 819 nt
Organism: Brassica rapa (field mustard)
Lineage: Eukaryota; Viridiplantae; Streptophyta; Magnoliopsida; Brassicales; Brassicaceae
Source: RefSeq, a predicted model, not a curated record
UAAGUGAUGAGGUCAUUUUGGCAGAAAAAAAGAGAAAAUCUGGAAACACUAUUCCUUUCUCAUAAAUCAAAGAGCCAUUCAUCCUCUCAAGCUUUUGCAUUUCUCUUCUAAUAACACAAAACUCAUUCAUUAGGGCGUUCCUGAUCCCGCCGCCAAAGCACUUUAUUCUCGAAUCACUUUCAAAAAGAUCUCGAUCGAUUUCACCAUUUUGCAGAAAACCCCUAGAGAGGUCGUCGAUCAUGAAGUGUUGCCAAAUUCGCUCUGUGUUUUAAAACAACUGAAUUAGCAAUGUCCAAGCCCGUCAUGCUCGUCUGUCUACUAGUUAUACUUAUAGUCACCUCUCAGUUUGAAUGGAGACAACCACUCGUUGACCUUGAUGCACCCACCACCAUCUCUCAGAAACAGCAGCAAAUUUCAGACAGGGAAGAAUCUGUCAAAGAGAAGAUCAUCAUAUCGCAAGAGAGACAUAUCCAGAAGCUAAAUGAGCUUGUCAGGAGUCUUCAGUUGCAGUUGCUACAAUGCAAGGGAGACAAUGGGACCCAAAAUGCCACCAAAAGCUUUCAUUCAGAUAAACAUUUCAUCGAGGUCGAGAGGAAACAAAUCUUCCAAGGCUAAUCUCCCUUGCAAAAAAAUGAAAUGAUACGUCAAUUCAUUUGAAAGAAAUAUCACUCUUUAUAAUGUGUUUCGGUGUUGUAUUGUAUUUAUGCUGAUGUUCAUAUUGAGAAAACUUUUUUUUUCUGAUAUUAAAUUUUAUAAAUAUCAACCUGUAAACGGGAAUACGAUUUUGAUUACAAGCGGAUUUGAACAUAAGCAUCCUAA